UCAACUUGAGAGUUUGAUCCUGGCUCAGAACGAACGCUGGCGGCAGGCCUAACACAUGCAAGUCGAGCGAGACCUUCGGGUCUAGCGGCGGACGGGUUAGUAACGCGUGGGAACGUGCCCUUCUCUGCGGAAUAGCCACUGGAAACGGUGAGUAAUACCGCAUACGCCCUUCGGGGGAAAGAUUUAUCGGAGAAGGAUCGGCCCGCGUUAGAUUAGAUAGUUGGUGGGGUAAUGGCCUACCAAGUCUACGAUCUAUAGCUGGUUUUAGAGGAUGAUCAGCAACACUGGGACUGAGACACGGCCCAGACUCCUACGGGAGGCAGCAGUGGGGAAUCUUAGACAAUGGGCGCAAGCCUGAUCUAGCCAUGCCGCGUGUGUGAUGAAGGUCUUAGGAUCGUAAAGCACUUUCGCCAGGGAUGAUAAUGACAGUACCUGGUAAAGAAACCCCGGCUAACUCCGUGCCAGCAGCCGCGGUAAUACGGAGGGGGUUA
This 491-nucleotide ribosomal RNA is filed under the name Sulfitobacter sp. HI0054. RNAcentral describes it as "bacterial SSU rRNA". It matches the Rfam family "Bacterial small subunit ribosomal RNA", at positions 1 to 537 of the family's 1533-position model. The record is from RNAcentral. Lineage: Bacteria; Pseudomonadati; Pseudomonadota; Alphaproteobacteria; Rhodobacterales; Roseobacteraceae.